Molecule: long non-coding RNA, 435 nt
Filed under: Micromonas commoda
Lineage: Eukaryota; Viridiplantae; Chlorophyta; Mamiellophyceae; Mamiellales; Mamiellaceae
Description: long non-coding RNA (MCOM_LNC000136)
Source: RNAcentral
AUGAUGCAGCCGAGCCACGCGAACAUGGAGAGGCGGCAGUGCUUGAGCUCCUUGAUCUUGAGCUCCUCGAGGUCACCGGACUCGGCGAGGCCGAGGGGGUCGAAGCGGCCACCGGGGGACACGUCACCGACGGUGAGCUCGUCGAAGACGGGGUCGGAGAGGCCGGUGCGGUAAGCCUCGGCGAGGCCGACGAGGACGACCUCGAUGGCGAGGACGGCCCAGAAGGAGGGGUAGCCGGAGCCCUCGGGGGCGAGGGGAGCGACGGCGCCGGGGAACUUGUCCGCGACGGCGGUGCAGUCGUCGGGGGUGCAGAGGGUACCGGCGGUGAACCAGGGGAUGCCGGUGCCGUUCUCGGCGGCCCAGGCACCGGUCACGCCGAGCAUCGCCCAGCGGCCGUGGAUGACCUCACGCUCGGCGUUCUUCUCGGAGCCGAAG